AACGAACGUUGGCGGCGUGGAUUAGGCAUGCAAGUCGAACGAAUGCUAGUUUUGUAGCAAUACAGAGCUAGCGGAAGUGGCGAAAGGGGCAGUAAUGCGUGGGUAACCUACCUCGGGGAUGGGCAUAGCCGUUCUAACGGACGGGUAAUUCCCAGAGAUUCAGCGGGGCGGCAUCGUCCUGCUGGGAAAUGAGUUUCGCCUCGAGAGGGGCCCACGUGCUAUUAGCUAGUUGGUGGGGUAACGGCCUACCAAGGCAAAGAUGGCUAGCGGGUGUGAGAGCACGACCCGCGCCACUGGCACUGAGACACUGGCCAGACACCUACGGGUGGCUGCAGUCGAGGAUCUUCGUCAAUGGGCGCAAGCCUGAACGAGCGACGCCGCGUGCGCGAUGAAGGCCUUCGGGUUGUAAAGCGCGAAAGUGGAGAGAAAGGGAAACUUGAUCAAUCCACAGUAAGGACGGGCUAAGUUCGUGCCAGCCGCCGCAGUAAAAC
Molecule: ribosomal RNA, 491 nt
Filed under: uncultured bacterium
Lineage: Bacteria
Description: bacterial SSU rRNA
Rfam family: Bacterial small subunit ribosomal RNA
Source: RNAcentral